This 66-nucleotide transfer RNA is filed under the name Livilla variegata. RNAcentral describes it as "tRNA-Leu". Lineage: Eukaryota; Metazoa; Arthropoda; Insecta; Hemiptera; Psyllidae. The record is from RNAcentral.
CUAAUGUGUCAGAGUUAAUGUAUUAAAUUUAAGAUUUAAGUAUGAAAAAGUUUUAUUCCUUUAGUA